Molecule: ribosomal RNA, 2192 nt
Filed under: Vibrio cyclitrophicus ZF99
Lineage: Bacteria; Pseudomonadati; Pseudomonadota; Gammaproteobacteria; Vibrionales; Vibrionaceae
Description: bacterial LSU rRNA
Rfam family: Bacterial large subunit ribosomal RNA
Source: RNAcentral
GUUGUAUGGUUAAGUGACUAAGCGUACACGGUGGAUGCCUUGGCAGUCAGAGGCGAUGAAAGGCGUAAUAACUUGCGAUAAGCCCAGAUUAGGUAGUAAUAACCUUUUGAGUCUGGGAUUCCUGAAUGGGGAAACCCACUUACAUAAGUAAGUAUCCUGUUGUGAAUACAUAGCAACAGGAGGCAAACCGGGGGAACUGAAACAUCUAAGUACCCCGAGGAAGAGAAAUCAACCGAGAUUCCGAAAGUAGCGGCGAGCGAAAUUGGAUUAGCCCUUAAGCUUUUAAUGAUGCAGGUGAAGAGUCUGGAAAGUCUCGCAACAAAGGGUGAUAGCCCCGUAACCGACACAUCAUAAUCAGUGAAAACGAGUAGGGCGGGACACGUGAUAUCCUGUCUGAAUAUGGGGGGACCAUCCUCCAAGGCUAAAUACUACUGACUGACCGAUAGUGAACCAGUACCGUGAGGGAAAGGCGAAAAGAACCCCUGUGAGGGGAGUGAAAUAGAACCUGAAACCGUGUACGUACAAGCAGUAGGAGCACCUUCGUGGUGUGACUGCGUACCUUUUGUAUAAUGGGUCAGCGACUUAAUUUUAGUAGCAAGGUUAACCGUUUAGGGGAGCCGUAGGGAAACCGAGUCUUAACUGGGCGUACAGUUGCUAGGAUUAGACCCGAAACCAGGUGAUCUAGCCAUGGGCAGGUUGAAGGUUGAGUAACAUCAACUGGAGGACCGAACCGACUAAUGUUGAAAAAUUAGCGGAUGACUUGUGGCUAGGGGUGAAAGGCCAAUCAAACCUGGAGAUAGCUGGUUCUCCCCGAAAGCUAUUUAGGUAGCGCCUCGGACGAAUACUACUGGGGGUAGAGCACUGUUAAGGCUAGGGGGUCAUCCCGACUUACCAACCCUUUGCAAACUCCGAAUACCAGUAAGUACUAUCCGGGAGACACACGGCGGGUGCUAACGUCCGUCGUGGAGAGGGAAACAACCCAGACCGCCAGCUAAGGUCCCAAAGUAUAGCUAAGUGGGAAACGAUGUGGGAAGGCUCAGACAGCCAGGAUGUUGGCUUAGAAGCAGCCAUCAUUUAAAGAAAGCGUAAUAGCUCACUGGUCGAGUCGGCCUGCGCGGAAGAUGUAACGGGGCUAAGCUAUACACCGAAGCUGCGGCUACGUACCUUAGGGUAUGUGGGGUAGGGGAGCGUUCUGUAAGCCGUUGAAGGUGGUCUGUAAGGGCUGCUGGAGGUAUCAGAAGUGCGAAUGCUGACAUGAGUAACGAUAAAGGGAGUGAAAAACUCCCUCGCCGGAAGACCAAGGGUUCCUGUCCAACGUUAAUCGGGGCAGGGUAAGUCGACUCCUAAGGCGAGGCCGAAAGGCGUAGUCGAUGGGAAACGGGUUAAUAUUCCCGUACUUCUUACAAUUGCGAUGGGGGGACGGAGAAGGCUAGGUGGGCCUGGCGACGGUUGUCCAGGUUCAAGUACGUAGGCGGGUGGUUUAGGUAAAUCCGGACCGCUACUAACGCUGAGAUACGAUGUCGAGCUACUACGGUAGUGAAGUCAUUGAUGCCAUGCUUCCAGGAAAAGCCUCUAAGCUUCAGAUUGUAAGGAAUCGUACCCCAAACCGACACAGGUGGUCGGGUAGAGAAUACCAAGGCGCUUGAGAGAACUCGGGUGAAGGAACUAGGCAAAAUGGUACCGUAACUUCGGGAGAAGGUACGCUCUUAUCAGUGAAGUCCCUUGCGGAUGGAGCAGACGAGAGUCGCAGAUACCAGGUGGCUGCAACUGUUUAUUAAAAACACAGCACUGUGCAAAAUCGUAAGAUGACGUAUACGGUGUGACGCCUGCCCGGUGCCGGAAGGUUAAUUGAUGGGGUUAGACUUCGGUCGAAGCUCUUGAUCGAAGCCCCGGUAAACGGCGGCCGUAACUAUAACGGUCCUAAGGUAGCGAAAUUCCUUGUCGGGUAAGUUCCGACCUGCACGAAUGGCGUAAUGAUGGCCACGCUGUCUCCACCCGAGACUCAGUGAAAUUGAAAUCGCUGUGAAGAUGCAGUGUACCCGCGGCUAGACGGAAAGACCCCGUGAACCUUUACUACAGCUUGGCACUGAACAUUGAACCUACAUGUGUAGGAUAGGUGGGAGACUUUGAAACCGCGUCGCUAGAUGUGGUGGAGUCGUCCUUGAAAUACCACCCUUGUAGUUUUGAUGUUC